AACGAACGCUGGCGGCAUGCCUAACACAUGCAAGUCGAACGAGACCUUCGGGUCUAGUGGCGCACGGGUGCGUAACGCGUGGGAACCUGCCCUUAGGUUCGGAAUAACUCCCCGAAAGGGGUGCUAAUACCGGAUAAUGUCUUCGGACCAAAGAUUUAUCGCCUUUGGAUGGGCCCGCGUUGGAUUAGCUAGUUGGUAGGGUAAAAGCCUACCAAGGCGACGAUCCAUAGCUGGUCUGAGAGGAUGAUCAGCCACACUGGGACUGAGACACGGCCCAGACUCCUACGGGAGGCAGCAGUGGGGAAUAUUGGACAAUGGGCGAAAGCCUGAUCCAACAAUGCCGCGUGAGUGAUGAAGGCCUUAGGGUUGUAAAGCUCUUUUACCCGGGAUGAUAAUGACAGUACCGGGAGAAGAAGCUCCGGCUAACUCCGU
RNAcentral lists this ribosomal RNA (432 nucleotides) under uncultured bacterium. RNAcentral describes it as "partial 16S ribosomal RNA". It matches the Rfam family "Bacterial small subunit ribosomal RNA", at positions 29 to 506 of the family's 1533-position model. The record is from RNAcentral.